GUAUAUUGAGAGCAAGCUGGCUAUGACAUCUGUCAACCCCACUGAUUGCCAGAAUUGAUUUGCUGGAUCUGUCCUGCUAAGAUGGUGUCCCAUUUCUUCCUGACUCUGCCACAUGUGUUUUUCCAAAAGCUGGACACUUCAUUGGAGAGGAUGAUUUUUCUAGAUAAAGACUACUGUCUACAGAGAAUCAGGUUUUUCUGCUGGAAUACUCAAGGCAUGUUGAGUAGGUUCCGCUGC
Unclassified non-coding RNA from Cercocebus atys (sooty mangabey), 237 nucleotides. Its record names the gene 7SK. It matches the Rfam family "7SK RNA". From Rfam's summary of the family: 7SK was discovered as an abundant small nuclear RNA in the mid-70s but a possible function has only recently been suggested. The record is from Ensembl. Lineage: Eukaryota; Metazoa; Chordata; Mammalia; Primates; Cercopithecidae.